CGGGGGGAGCAAGCGUUGUUCGGAUUUACUGGGCGUAAAGGGCGUGUAGGCGGCCACCGCAAGUCGACUGUGAAAUCCCCGGGCUUAACUCGGAAAGGUCAGCCGAUACUGCGGGGCUAGAGUGCAGAAGGGGCAACUGGAAUUCUCGGUGUAGCGGUGAAAUGCGUAGAUAUCGAGAGGAACACCUGCGGCGGAGGCGGGUUGCUGGGCUGACACUGACGCUGAAACGCGAAAGCUAGGGGAGCGAACGGGAUUAGAUACCCCGGUAGUCCUAGCCUUAAACGAUGAAUGCUUGGUGUCUGGGGUUUUAUAGUCCCCGGGUGCCGUCGCUAACGCUUUAAGCAUUCCGCCUGGGGAGUACGGUCGCAAGACUG
RNAcentral lists this ribosomal RNA (374 nucleotides) under uncultured organism. RNAcentral describes it as "bacterial SSU rRNA". It matches the Rfam family "Bacterial small subunit ribosomal RNA", at positions 526 to 896 of the family's 1533-position model. The record is from RNAcentral.